This 393-nucleotide long non-coding RNA is filed under the name Trifolium pratense (red clover). RNAcentral describes it as "long non-coding RNA (TPRA_LNC007094)". The record is from RNAcentral. Lineage: Eukaryota; Viridiplantae; Streptophyta; Magnoliopsida; Fabales; Fabaceae.
GAAUUCGACCAGGUUUGUGGAUUUAUAAUAUUUUCAGGAUUACAAGGCUUGGUCCAUUUACCAAACGACAAUAUAAGAUCGUCGAAGACACGUAUGCAUCUGAGACACGUAGCAAGACAUGCGUCGAACAAGCUAUUCGUCGCUGUUAUUUCUAGUGUAUUAUAAAUAGGAGUUAUGUAUAGGAAUUCACUAUCACAAAAUCAUUCACAAAAUACCUUAAGAAAUUUGAAGUAUCCAUGUUAACGUGAGAAAAGAGUCUCAUAAGGCCAAUGUUCGAUUAUGUGUACUAUUUCCUUUAUGUCAUUUUAACCGAAUGUAGUUUCCCUUUUCAAAUUGUUUAUGUUUACGUUUACUUGCCUUUAUCUUCAACACUGUGCACUUUUACUUUAGUAU